CCUACGGGAGGCAGCAGUGGGGAAUUUUGGACAAUGGGCGAAAGCCUGAUCCAGCAAUGCCGCGUGAGUGAAGAAGGCCUUCGGGUUGUAAAGCUCUUUUGUCAGGGAAGAAACGGUGAUUUCUAAUACAGAUUGCUAAUGACGGUACCUGAAGAAUAAGCACCGGCUAACUACGUGCCAGCAGCCGCGGUAAUACGUAGGGUGCAAGCGUUAAUCGGAAUUACUGGGCGUAAAGCGUGCGCAGGCGGUUUUGUAAGUCUGACGUGAAAUCCCCGGGCUCAACCUGGGAAUUGCGUUGGAGACUGCAAGGCUAGAGUUUGGCAGAGGGGGGUAGAAUUCCACGUGUAGCAGUGAAAUGCGUAGAUAUGUGGAGGAACACCGAUGGCGAAGGCAGCCCCCUGGGUCAAGACUGACGCUCAUGCACGAAAGCGUGGGGAGCAAACAGGAUUAGAUACCCUGGUAGUCCACGCCCUAAACGAUGUCUACUAGUUGUCGGGUCUUAAUUGACUUGGUAACGCAGCUAACGCGUGAAGUAGACCGCCUGGGGAGUACGGUCGCAAGAUUAAAACUUAAAGGAAUUGACGG
Molecule: ribosomal RNA, 585 nt
Filed under: uncultured bacterium
Lineage: Bacteria
Description: bacterial SSU rRNA
Rfam family: Bacterial small subunit ribosomal RNA
Source: RNAcentral